RNAcentral lists this small RNA (2024 nucleotides) under Cryptococcus neoformans H99. Its description in RNAcentral is "Cryptococcus neoformans var. grubii H99 hypothetical RNA". Lineage: Eukaryota; Fungi; Basidiomycota; Tremellomycetes; Tremellales; Cryptococcaceae. The record is from RNAcentral.
GAUGAAAGUCCUUUUGAAGGCAAAGAGGCAACGAAGGCGUCAAGGGGGUCAACAAGGGUUCGAGAAGGAGGUCGGGCACGAGUGUCUAUGAAAGAGUGGCCAGGGCUUCAGCAGCAGCUUUGCUCCAAACCUCAGGGGACGUGCUCUUGGCACCCUCUGUCGCAGCAUCUCUCAAGGAUUUACCCAGUCCCGCAAAGAAUAUACUAAGACUAUAUAAGCUUACGGACCUUCUUCGCUUUACUGCAACUUACGAGUAAAGGGCACCCGAAGUGCCGCCCAUGUCCUCCUCGACGAUUUCGGCAAUAACUUUGACAUCCUGCACAACAUUCUCGCCCUUCAAUCGGCCCUCCUCAAUCGCCUUCAACACACCCUUGGCGCCGGCCUCCAAAGUGAGACCUGCAUCCCCAUCUCCGGCGAUCUGGUCUUGUUCAGUGAGUUCAGGUUCGGCGGCAAUAAGAGCCUUGCACGCCCGAGCGAUAGCAGCAAGGAAGCCUUUUGCAUCAGUGGCUGUACUCUAAUCAGUAUACGUCUUGGUUUCAGCCAUAUUACUUACAGGGUAAAACAGCGUUGUCUUUUUGCACCGGGAUAGACGCCUCUUCAGCCUUCACAUCAAGCGUUCCGGGUUCCCUACCCGCAUGCCACUUCCAUCCUGGAGCACUAGCCGGAGUGUCAAGGUACUCAAGGAUCUCAUCGGCGGAGUAAGGUGCUUUUUCGGAAGCAGGAGGGAGGAGAAGAAGAGUAAGGGAGAAACCAGGCAUGUUGAGAGAUGUCAUCAAACCACCUCUACAAGAUAGAGCUAUGAACGUACCUUCAUUUAGCCAUCUCCUUUGAAAGGCACAAACGACUUGUCUUUGUCGGUAGUAUCGGUGAUUUGAGUGAGCAUUUUUCCCACCAGCUCAGACGCAGUCGUCAUGUCAAGCUUGUAAGUGCCAGCUUCGUUGUGAAUACCCAUGCCCUAGAUUGGAGUGGGAUGUGAGAAUAUGCGGACGAGGCAAAUGCAAAUGGGAUUACAUACAACUUCAACUUCGUUGGCUCCAAGGUGGGAGUUACCAGCACGAGUUCCUGGGACCUACGGCCUACACCAAGAGUGCCUAGCCGAGAAGCCACAUAUUUGGCAAUGUUCUCUACAGAGUCAAGGUCGGCACCUUUAUCGGAAAGAGCAGCAGCCACUUUGUACACCAGAAUUGUACCGGCCAGCCCUCUUAAGUCUUUUGCUACAUCAUCCCCAACCAUCAAGACUCGAACAUCCCCAAGUUUUCCUGCACUCCUGUGCUGCUCGGCAGCCAAGCCAAAGUGCAAAGCGUCACCCGUGUAGUUCAUGACUACGACAAGACCACCCUUUUCACGAGUCACCAACUCGAGUCCUCGACGGAUCUGAGCGACGUUUGGAGAAGCAAAGAUGUUUCCACAGAUUGCUGCCGAUAACAGUCCAGGCCCCACAAAUGCGGCAUGGGCAGGUUCAUGACCGGAGCCGCCGCCUGAGAGAAGAGCGACUUUAGAUUCAGUCGGAGGUGUGUAGAUCACUGAGUAAAAGAUCAACAGUCUGUAUAUGGAAUAAACUUAUUCUACCCACCUCUUUGGGCCUCGUCAAGUUUCACAUUGGGAUUGAGAGUGGCCAGGCCCUUAAGUGAAUCGACCACAAGGGUCUGAGGAGUGUUGAGAAGGUGUUUCUCUGGAGGUGGUAUUCAAGUGGUAAUGCCGUCAGUUAGCACUGCCAGUUUUCACAAAUUUAUAGGACGAAGCACUUACGAGCGGGAGCCAUUAUUGGUAAGAGCUGAUAACCAGUAUAUUGGGCAAGAAAGCAGUCUAGGAAAUAGAAACUGCAGUAACGGAGUUAUUUUAUACGGGGGCGAAGAUGGGUGUAUUGACGGACUAUAGUCGGUACAAAUAGCAAUCACCAGAUGCGUUCAAGCCGCUUCGGGCCGAAGGCCAUUGAACGGUUCCCAGUUCCCACGACGGAGAAUAUAGGCAUUUACCGGCACAAAGCGGCAUUUUCGUCCGCUAUUUUCUUUUUUAAAAGUGCA